RNAcentral lists this transfer RNA (80 nucleotides) under Cordylochernes scorpioides. RNAcentral describes it as "tRNA-Thr". Lineage: Eukaryota; Metazoa; Arthropoda; Arachnida; Pseudoscorpiones; Chernetidae. The record is from RNAcentral.
GGAAGGGUAGCCUCAGUGGACAUGGCAUCUGCCCGGUAAGCGGAACACUGUGGGUUCGGUUCCCAUCCCUGGACACUUUA